This 339-nucleotide ribosomal RNA is filed under the name uncultured Pseudomonadota bacterium. RNAcentral describes it as "bacterial SSU rRNA". It matches the Rfam family "Bacterial small subunit ribosomal RNA", at positions 29 to 351 of the family's 1533-position model. The record is from RNAcentral. Lineage: Bacteria; Pseudomonadati; Pseudomonadota.
AAUGAACGCUGGCGGCGUGCCUAACACAUGCAAGUCGAACGAGAAAGCCUGGCUUGCCAGGCAAGUAAAGUGGCGCACGGGUGAGUAACGCGUGGGUAAUCUACCUUUGUCUGGGGGAUAACAUACCGAAAGGUGUGCUAAUACCGCAUAACGUGAUCGGAUUGCGAUUUGAUCACCAAAGAAGGCCUCUCCCUGGAAGCUUUCGGGUAAAGAUGAGCCCGCGUCCCAUUAGCUAGUUGGUAGGGUAAAGGCUUACCAAGGCGAUGAUGGGUAGCCGGCCUGAGAGGGUGAUCGGCCACACUGGAACUGAGACACGGUCCAGACACCUACGGGUGGCUG